RNAcentral lists this ribosomal RNA (383 nucleotides) under marine copepod environmental sample. RNAcentral describes it as "partial small subunit ribosomal RNA". It matches the Rfam family "Eukaryotic small subunit ribosomal RNA", at positions 587 to 972 of the family's 1831-position model. Lineage: Eukaryota; Metazoa; Arthropoda; Copepoda. The record is from RNAcentral.
AGCUCCAAUAUCGUAUAUUAAAGUUGUUUUUUUUCCCCCGCUCUUCUUUUUCUCUCCCCCUCCUUUAAGCGGUUAACUUUGUAGUUUUACUGCUUUGUAGGCUGUGCUUUUGCUGGAGGUUUAGGGGUGCUCUUGAUCGAGUGUCUCUGGAUGCCAGCAGGUUUACUUUGAAAAAAUUAGAGUGCUCAAAGCAGGCUAAAAUGCCUGAAUAUUCGUGCAUGGAAUAAUAGAAUAGGAUGUCGAUCCUAUUUUGUUGGUUUUCGGGACUCGACAUAAGGAUAAAUAGGGACAGUCGGGGGCAUUUGUAUUCAAACGACAGAGGUGAAAUUCUUGGACCGUUUGAAGACAAACUACUGCGAAAGCAUUUGCCAAGAAUGUUUUCA